GUAUAAAGUUUAUAUAGGCACUGAGGCCUAAAUUAUACAUUCUGUUACAUACUAGGUGUAUAUGAAAAACGUAGGCUUGGAAAGUGCAAAGAAAGCCGACGCAGAGAGCGCAGCAUUCCUCCCGACCGAGCUGCCUCGGAAAAUCUAUCCAGGUCUACAAGACGUGCACAGGUGGAGAUGAGGAUGGCGAGUGUGCACAUGCCCCCGAGAAGGCCAGCAACAACCACACCAAGUUCAUUCAAUAAUGAUCCUUCCGCAGGUUCACCUACGGAAA
RNAcentral lists this unclassified non-coding RNA (274 nucleotides) under uncultured fungus. RNAcentral's name for it is "sequence contains ITS1". The record is from RNAcentral. Lineage: Eukaryota; Fungi.